Molecule: ribosomal RNA, 1036 nt
Filed under: Dorcadion fulvum
Lineage: Eukaryota; Metazoa; Arthropoda; Insecta; Coleoptera; Cerambycidae
Description: partial large subunit ribosomal RNA
Rfam family: Eukaryotic large subunit ribosomal RNA
Source: RNAcentral
AGCACCGAAUCCCGCGGCCGAUACCGGGCGCCGGGAAAUGUGGUGUUAGGGAGGAUCCGUUUAUCCCGAGGUCGUGCGGUGCGUCCAAGUCCUUCUUGAACGGGGCCACAGCCCAUAGAGGGUGCCAGGCCCGUAGCGACCGCUGCCGAUCGCGGGAGGAUCUCUCCUCAGAGUCGGGUUGCUUGAGAGUGCAGCCCUAAGUGGGUGGUAAACUCCAUCUAAGGCUAAAUAUGACCACGAGACCGAUAGCGAACAAGUACCGUGAGGGAAAGUUGAAAAGCACUUUGAAGAGAGAGUUCAAGAGUACGUGAAACCGUUCAGGGGUAAACCUGAGAAACCCGAAAGGUCGAAAGGGGAAAUUCAUUCGCGUCUCGACCGUCGGAGCGGAGCGUUCGUGCGACGGACGGCGUACGCGUCGUCCGCGCCUUUCGUUCCGCGAUCCGGCGUCGAACGCGUGCACUUUUCCCCUAGUAGGACGUCGCGAUCCGUUGGGUGUCGGUCUAAGGCUCGCGGUGGAGCCCGAGCGUGCGUCUUCGGACGUUCGCGCUCGGACCCGCGGUGUCCCGGCCGACCCGCUCGACGGUAUACAGAUGGCGCGGGGCCGCAAAUUCAAUUUGCGUUCGGCCCGCGGCAAGCGCGUACGGUGUUGACGGCGAUCGGACCUGGUGCCGAUCCCGUCCCCGGACGACUGUUGGCCGCGGUGCUCUCGAACAGACCUCGUUCUCGAAACGCCGAUCUGCGACGCUAUAGCUUUGGGUACUUUCAGGACCCGUCUUGAAACACGGACCAAGGAGUCUAGCAUGUGCGCGAGUCAUUGGGACAUAACUAAACCUAAAGGCGCAAUGAAAGUGAAGGUCCGCCUCGCGCGGACCGAGGGAGGAUGGGCGGUUCGUACUUCGUGCGGCCGCUCCGCACUCCCGGGGCGUCUCGUUCUCAUCGCGAGAAGAGGCGCACCAAGAGCGUACACGCUGGGACCCGAAAGAUGGUGAACUAUGCCUGGUCAGGACGAAGUCAGGGGAAACCCUGAUGGAGGUCC